This 377-nucleotide ribosomal RNA is filed under the name uncultured bacterium. RNAcentral describes it as "bacterial SSU rRNA". It matches the Rfam family "Bacterial small subunit ribosomal RNA", at positions 523 to 898 of the family's 1533-position model. The record is from RNAcentral.
ACACGUAGGGGGCGAGCGUUGUCCGGAAUUACUGGGCGUAAAGGGCGCGUAGGCGGCCUAAUAAGUCAGAUGUGAAAAUCCUGGGCUUAACUUAGGGCUUGCAUUUGAAACUGUUGGGCUUGAGGACAGGAGAGGAAAGCGGAAUUCCCAGUGUAGCGGUGAAAUGCGUAGAUAUUGGGAGGAACACCAGUGGCGAAGGCGGCUUUCUGGACUGCACCUGACGCUGAGGCGCGAAAGCCAGGGGAGCGAACGGGAUUAGAUACCCCGGUAGUCCUGGCCGUAAACGAUGGAUACUAGGUGUGGGAGGUAUCGACCCCUUCCGUGCCGGAGCAAACGCAAUAAGUAUCCCGCCUGGGGAGUACGGCCGCAAGGCUGAA